This is a non-coding RNA of Picea glauca (white spruce), 119 nucleotides long. The record is from Rfam. Lineage: Eukaryota; Viridiplantae; Streptophyta; Pinopsida; Pinales; Pinaceae.
GGGUGUGAUCAUGCUAGUGUUAAUGCACUGAAUCCCAUUGAAACUUCAUAGUUAAGCGCGCAUGGGCUAGAGUAGUACAUGGAUGGGUGACCUCUUGAGAAGUCCUAGUGUUGCACCCU